GAUGAACGCUAGCGGCAGGCUUAACACAUGCAAGUCGAGGGGUAUAUAGUUUUCGGAUUAUAGAGACCGGCAAACGGGUGCGGAACACGUACGCAAUCUGCCUUUACCUGGGGGAUAGCCCAUAGAAAUGUGGAUUAAUACCCCAUAGUAUUAUUUGGUGGCAUCAUUAGAUAAUUAAAGAACUUCGGGUGAAGAUGAGCGUGCGUAAGAUUAGCUAGUUGGAGGGGUAACGGCCCACCAAGGCGACGAUCUUUAGCGGAUGUGAGAGCAUGGGCAGCCACACGGGCACUGAGACACGGGACAGACUCAUACGGGAGGCAGCAGGGAGGAAUAUUGGUCAAUGGGCGGAAGCCUGAACCAGCCAUGCCGCGUGAAGGAUGAAGGCGUUCUGCGUUGUAAACUUCUUUUAUCUGGGAAGAAACCAUCUUUUUCUAAGGAUGUUGACGGUACCAGAGGAAUAAGCACCGGCUAACUCCGUGCCAGCAGCCGCCGUAA
RNAcentral lists this ribosomal RNA (495 nucleotides) under uncultured bacterium. RNAcentral's name for it is "partial 16S ribosomal RNA". It matches the Rfam family "Bacterial small subunit ribosomal RNA", at positions 28 to 523 of the family's 1533-position model. The record is from RNAcentral.